Rosa chinensis is the source of this 579-nucleotide long non-coding RNA. RefSeq lists it as uncharacterized. The transcript is spliced from 3 exons. The record is from RefSeq and is a predicted model, not a curated record. Lineage: Eukaryota; Viridiplantae; Streptophyta; Magnoliopsida; Rosales; Rosaceae.
AGCUAGCAUCACUUUUGAAAUAAAUUGCUUCUAAUAAAAACUCUUGCAUUCUUAGUUUCUAGAGUGCGUCUAGUUGCUAACACUGGCUGCUAUCCAACUUCGAUCUGUUCAGCUUCCCCUUGUUCCAUUGUUUGAGGUUAAUCUCAUUCAAUCUAAAAUAUUAUUAUUGACUCAAAAUCGGGUGUUAGUGGAGCAGGACGUGGUGCCAAGGAGGCUAAUUUGUACACUGAAAUAGUUGAAGGCAUAUAUUCUUAUAGCAUUACUCAUCAUCAUCGUGGUAAAAUUUUGAAUUUGCUGGAAUUUGGAUUGUUCACUUCUUGGUAGCUACUUGAAUGAACUUGAGAAAUUAACUAUGUUUAUGUUUGUUGGAAUUUGUAUCUCUCGAUUUUGACAAAAGAUUUUGAUAAUAUCUCUCAAAAUUUUUUGCCAGCUAUUAUCACUGCAAUUCUCCCCUGGUCAUUUCAGAGAAAGGGUACGUGCUAAAUGCUAUGUUAGCAGAAUGUUUUUAAUGGCUACACGAAUGCAAAAGGAUAUUUAUGUUUGUAACAUGCUCAAUAUACAAAUCCAUACUCAUUUGUA